This is a small nuclear RNA of Neoarius graeffei (lesser salmon catfish), 141 nucleotides long. RefSeq annotates it as U4 spliceosomal RNA. The record is from RefSeq and is a predicted model, not a curated record. The transcript has a single exon. NCBI's taxonomy places the organism in Eukaryota, Metazoa, Chordata, Actinopteri, Siluriformes, Ariidae.
AUCCUUUCGCUCAGGCAAUAUCGUAGCCUAUGAGGUUUAUCUGAGGUGCGAUCGUUGCUGGUUGAAAACUUUACCCAAUACCCCGCCUGGAUGACCUGGGGGGGAAAUAGUCAGCCGGGGAAAUUUUUGAUAGCAUACAUG